Molecule: ribosomal RNA, 234 nt
Filed under: uncultured Staphylococcus sp.
Lineage: Bacteria; Bacillati; Bacillota; Bacilli; Caryophanales; Staphylococcaceae
Description: partial 16S ribosomal RNA
Rfam family: Bacterial small subunit ribosomal RNA
Source: RNAcentral
GUGAGUAACACGUGGAUAACCUACCUAUAAGACUGGGAUAACUUCGGGAAACCGGAGCUAAUACCGGAUAAUAUUUUGAACCGCAUGGUUCAAAAGUGAAAGACGGUCUUGCUGUCACUUAUAGAUGGAUCCGCGCUGCAUUAGCUAGUUGGUAAGGUAACGGCUUACCAAGGCAACGAUGCAUAGCCGACCUGAGAGGGUGAUCGGCCACACUGGAACUGAGACACGGUCCAG